GUGGGGAAUCUUCCGCAAUGGACGAAAGUCUGACGGAGCAACGCCGCGUGAGUGAUGAAGGUCUUCGGAUUGUAAAGCUCUGUUAAUCGGGACGAAAGAGCCUAGUGUGAAUAAUGCUAGGAAGUGACGGUACCGGAAUAGAAAGCCACGGCUAACUACGUGCCAGCAGCCGCGGUAAUACGUAGGUGGCAAGCGUUGUCCGGAAUUAUUGGGCGUAAAGCGCGCGCAGGCGGAUCUGCCAGUCUGUCUUAAAAGUUCGGGGCUUAACCCCGUGAUGGGAUGGAAACUACAGAUCUAGAGUAUCGGAGAGGAAAGUGGAAUUCCUAGUGUAGCGGUGAAAUGCGUAGAUAUUAGGAGGAACACCAGUGGCGAAGGCGGCUUGCUGGACGAUAACUGACGCUGAGGCGCGAAAGCGUGGGGAGCAAACAGGAUUAGAAACCCGAGUAGUCC
Molecule: ribosomal RNA, 450 nt
Filed under: uncultured bacterium
Lineage: Bacteria
Description: partial 16S ribosomal RNA
Rfam family: Bacterial small subunit ribosomal RNA
Source: RNAcentral